Molecule: ribosomal RNA, 450 nt
Filed under: uncultured bacterium
Lineage: Bacteria
Description: bacterial SSU rRNA
Rfam family: Bacterial small subunit ribosomal RNA
Source: RNAcentral
GUGGGGAAUAUUGGACAAUGGGCGAAAGCCUGAUCCAGCCAUGCCGCGUGUGUGAAGAAGGUCUUCGGAUUGUAAAGCACUUUAAGUUGGGAGGAAGGGCAGUAAGUUAAUACCUUGCUGUUUUGACGUUACCGACAGAAUAAGCACCGGCUAACUUCGUGCCAGCAGCCGCGGUAAUACGAAGGGUGCAAGCGUUAAUCGGAAUUACUGGGCGUAAAGCGCGCGUAGGUGGUUUUGUAAGUUGGAGGUGAAAUCCCCGGGCUCAACCUGGGAACUGCCUCCAAAACUGCAUGACUAGAGUACGGUAGAGGGUAGUGGAAUUUCCUGUGUAGCGGUGAAAUGCGUAGAUAUAGGAAGGAACACCAGUGGCGAAGGCGACCACCUGGACUGAUACUGACACUGAGGUGCGAAAGCGUGGGGAGCAAACAGGAUUAGAAACCCUGGUAGUCC